CACAAACUCCAAUUGAAUGGGGAAAAUUGAUGAGAAAACUAUAUUACUUUUACAACUCCCCUUUGGUGACAUUUUUUUUCUCCGUUGUUUCAUAUAUGGCAAUGCUAGUGAUAUUCAGCAUAUUCGUAUUGACAGAUUUAUAUCCAAUGUCUGAGAAAUACCCGUCUGUUAAGGAGUGGAUUGUUUAUGUGUGGGCAGCAUCGACAUUGACAGAGGAAAUAAGACAGGCUGUUGUUAUCAAGCAAUUGUCGUUGAAUACAAUGACCUGGUUUACAUUUUGGAC
Mytilus californianus (California mussel) is the source of this 283-nucleotide long non-coding RNA. RefSeq lists it as uncharacterized. The record is from RefSeq and is a predicted model, not a curated record. NCBI's taxonomy places the organism in Eukaryota, Metazoa, Mollusca, Bivalvia, Mytilida, Mytilidae. The transcript is spliced from 3 exons.